Hypanus sabinus (Atlantic stingray) is the source of this 1156-nucleotide long non-coding RNA. RefSeq lists it as uncharacterized. The transcript has 2 exons. Lineage: Eukaryota; Metazoa; Chordata; Chondrichthyes; Myliobatiformes; Dasyatidae. The record is from RefSeq and is a predicted model, not a curated record.
UGGAGCAAUUGAUCGGCCUUAAACAAGCUGGCAUUUGUGGGUUAUUCAGUGUCAGGGGCGGGGGAAGAGACGCCAUUGAGGCGGUAUAAAUCGGUAGCGCGGCGGUACUGCGGCCUUUUGUGUCCCAGAGUGAGGAAGGUCUGAAGUUUAGUGGAUUGACGUGUGCUCAUUGUUUUCACAGGAGCAUCACCACACUCUGGCUAAUUUGUUAGGUACAUCUUCUAACGGUCAAGAGGUCCAGUUCUGACCAAACGGCAGCAUGGAGAAGAAAUGUGAUCUAAGUGACUUUGAACGUGGAAUGAUUAUUGGUGCCAGGCUGAGCGGUCUGAGCAUCUCAAAAACUGCUGAUCUCCUGGGCUUUUCACGCACAACAGUCUCUAAAGUUUAUAAAGAAUGGUGUGAAAAACAGAAAACCUCCUUUGAGCGGCAGUUCUGUGGGUGAAAAUGCCUUGUUCAUGAGGUCUGGAGAUUGGCCAGACUAGUUCAAGCAGAUGGAAAGGCAACAGUAACUCAAAUAGCUGUUACCACAGUGAUGUGCAGAAGGGCAUUUCUGAACAUGCAACUCAUUGAAUCUUGAAGUGGAUGGGUUACAGCAGCAGAAGACUGCACUGGGUUCCACACCUGAGUGGAUAUUGAAACAAUAUAUUUACCAUUCCUGAAAUGUAUAAUGCUCUUAAAACUAAAUUAGAGACUUGUACUGAGAUUAGAUGAAAUAUGUUAGCUGUUAGAAGUAAAAUAAAACAAUAGUGGAAAUGUUGAAUAGCUUGAUGUUUUAGCCAUUAUUCUUUCAAUUGAGCUGUAUCUUUUGACCACAUUGGAAAACAAUCUUGAAUUAAUAUGUUAAUUGCUGCUGAUUUUCUGAGUAAUGUGGGAAGGAAUGAUUACUUUGUCUUGAUGAUCCAUUUUUCCCUCUGUUCUGAAAAACUCUUUUAAUACAUCAAGAACUGUUCAUAGUCUGGAAUGGUGUUUGUAGAUAUGUCAGGUGUUUAAGAUCUAAAUUGAGUGUUGCUUGACCAGUGUUUCUGAUCAUUUUCUGCUUAAUUUCAAAUAUUAGGCACUUGAAGGUUUUUUUUGCUUUGUACUAAUGCAAUGGAAUACUUGACAAUCGCAAUGAUUUUGCUAUAGCUUGGGAAUAAAAUAAAACCUUGGUUCUUGA